RNAcentral lists this ribosomal RNA (301 nucleotides) under uncultured bacterium. Its description in RNAcentral is "partial 16S ribosomal RNA". It matches the Rfam family "Bacterial small subunit ribosomal RNA", at positions 509 to 807 of the family's 1533-position model. The record is from RNAcentral.
CAGUAGCCGCGGGAACACGUAGGGUGCGAGCGUUAAUCGGAAUUACUGGGCGUAAAGCGUGCGCAGGCGGUUAUGUAAGACAGCUGUGAAAUCCCCGGGCUCAACCUGGGAACUGCAUCUGUGACUGCAUAGCUAGAGUACGGUAGAGGGGGAUGGAAUUCCGCGUGUAGCAGUGAAAUGCGUAGAUAUGCGGAGGAACACCGAUGGCGAAGGCAAUCCCCUGGACCUGUACUGACGCUCAUGCACGAAAGCGUGGGGAGCAAACAGGAUUAGAUACCCCUGUAGUCCCUGUCUCUUAUAC